GACAUCAUUGUAGUGAAAUCAAAUGCCUGUUUUUCACAGAUGACCUGGUAUUACUGUCUCCAACCAAAGAAAGGCUACAACAAGAACUUGACCUUCUACACAAUUUCUC
Molecule: long non-coding RNA, 109 nt
Organism: Thalassophryne amazonica
Lineage: Eukaryota; Metazoa; Chordata; Actinopteri; Batrachoidiformes; Batrachoididae
Exons: 3
Source: RefSeq, a predicted model, not a curated record